RNAcentral lists this ribosomal RNA (1134 nucleotides) under Klebsiella pneumoniae. RNAcentral's name for it is "bacterial SSU rRNA". It matches the Rfam family "Bacterial small subunit ribosomal RNA", at positions 1 to 1126 of the family's 1533-position model. The record is from RNAcentral. Lineage: Bacteria; Pseudomonadati; Pseudomonadota; Gammaproteobacteria; Enterobacterales; Enterobacteriaceae.
AAAUUGAAGAGUUUGAUCAUGGCUCAGAUUGAACGCUGGCGGCAGGCCUAACACAUGCAAGUCGAGCGGUAGCACAGAGAGCUUGCUCUCGGGUGACGAGCGGCGGACGGGUGAGUAAUGUCUGGGAAACUGCCUGAUGGAGGGGGAUAACUACUGGAAACGGUAGCUAAUACCGCAUAAUGUCGCAAGACCAAAGUGGGGGACCUUCGGGCCUCAUGCCAUCAGAUGUGCCCAGAUGGGAUUAGCUAGUAGGUGGGGUAACGGCUCACCUAGGCGACGAUCCCUAGCUGGUCUGAGAGGAUGACCAGCCACACUGGAACUGAGACACGGUCCAGACUCCUACGGGAGGCAGCAGUGGGGAAUAUUGCACAAUGGGCGCAAGCCUGAUGCAGCCAUGCCGCGUGUGUGAAGAAGGCCUUCGGGUUGUAAAGCACUUUCAGCGGGGAGGAAGGCGAUAAGGUUAAUAACCUUGUCGAUUGACGUUACCCGCAGAAGAAGCACCGGCUAACUCCGUGCCAGCAGCCGCGGUAAUACGGAGGGUGCAAGCGUUAAUCGGAAUUACUGGGCGUAAAGCGCACGCAGGCGGUCUGUCAAGUCGGAUGUGAAAUCCCCGGGCUCAACCUGGGAACUGCAUUCGAAACUGGCAGGCUAGAGUCUUGUAGAGGGGGGUAGAAUUCCAGGUGUAGCGGUGAAAUGCGUAGAGAUCUGGAGGAAUACCGGUGGCGAAGGCGGCCCCCUGGACAAAGACUGACGCUCAGGUGCGAAAGCGUGGGGAGCAAACAGGAUUAGAUACCCUGGUAGUCCACGCCGUAAACGAUGUCGAUUUGGAGGUUGUGCCCUUGAGGCGUGGCUUCCGGAGCUAACGCGUUAAAUCGACCGCCUGGGGAGUACGGCCGCAAGGUUAAAACUCAAAUGAAUUGACGGGGGCCCGCACAAGCGGUGGAGCAUGUGGUUUAAUUCGAUGCAACGCGAAGAACCUUACCUGGUCUUGACAUCCACAGAACUUUCCAGAGAUGGAUUGGUGCCUUCGGGAACUGUGAGACAGGUGCUGCAUGGCUGUCGUCAGCUCGUGUUGUGAAAUGUUGGGUUAAGUCCCGCAACGAGCGCAACCCUUAUCCUUUGUUGCCAGCGGUC